RNAcentral lists this ribosomal RNA (827 nucleotides) under uncultured bacterium. Its description in RNAcentral is "bacterial SSU rRNA". It matches the Rfam family "Bacterial small subunit ribosomal RNA", at positions 625 to 1451 of the family's 1533-position model. The record is from RNAcentral.
UCUGGAAACUNUCUGACUUGAGUGCAGAAGGGGAGAGUGGAAUUCCAUGUGUAGCGGUGAAAUGCGUAGAUAUAUGGAGGAACACCAGUGGCGAAAGCGGCUCUCUGGUCUGUCACUGACGCUGAGGCUCGAAAGCGUGGGUAGCGAACAGGAUUAGAUACCCUGGUAGUCCACGCCGUAAACGAUGAGUGCUAGGUGUUAGGCCCUUUCCGGGGCUUAGUGCCGGAGCUAACGCAAUAAGCACUCCGCCUGGGGAGUACGACCGCAAGGUUGAAACUCAAAGGAAUUGACGGGGGCCCGCACAAGCGGUGGAGCAUGUGGUUUAAUUCGAAGCAACGCGAAGAACCUUACCAGGUCUUGACAUCCCGAUGCUAUUCUUAGAGAUAGGAAGUUACUUCGGUACAUCGGAGACAGGUGGUGCAUGGUUGUCGUCAGCUCGUGUCGUGAGAUGUUGGGUUAAGUCCCGCAACGAGCGCAACCCUUAUUGUUAGUUGCCAUCAUUAAGUUGGGCACUCUAGCGAGACUGCCGGUAAUAAACCGGAGGAAGGUGGGGAUGACGUCAAAUCAUCAUGCCCCUUAUGACCUGGGCUACACACGUGCUACAAUGGUCGGUACAACGAGUUGCGAGCCGGUGACGGCAAGCUAAUCUCUGAAAGCCGAUCUCAGUUCGGAUUGGAGGCUGCAACUCGCCUCCAUGAAGUCGGAAUCGCUAGUAAUCGCGGAUCAGCACGCCGCGGUGAAUACGUUCCCGGGCCUUGUACACACCGCCCGUCACACCACGAGAGUUUGUAACACCCGAAGUCGGUGAGGUANCCUUUUAGGGGCCA